UCGCCGACGGCGAGGGUCUCCGCGCCGCGCUGCUCGAAGCGGCGCAGGUUCACGAGCCCCGUGCUGAUGAUCUUCUCCGCGUCGAUGCU
This 89-nucleotide transfer RNA is filed under the name Kocuria rosea. Its description in RNAcentral is "tRNA-Ser(cga)". The record is from RNAcentral. Lineage: Bacteria; Bacillati; Actinomycetota; Actinomycetes; Micrococcales; Micrococcaceae.